RNAcentral lists this ribosomal RNA (492 nucleotides) under uncultured bacterium. RNAcentral's name for it is "partial 16S ribosomal RNA". It matches the Rfam family "Bacterial small subunit ribosomal RNA", at positions 29 to 507 of the family's 1533-position model. The record is from RNAcentral.
AGUGAACGCUGGCGGUAGGCCUAACACAUGCAAGUCGAACGGCAGCACAGUAAGAGCUUGCUCUUACGGGUGGCGAGUGGCGGACGGGUGAGGAAUACAUCGGAAUCUGCUUUUUCGUGGGGGAUAACGUAGGGAAACUUACGCUAAUACCGCAUACGACCUACGGGUGAAAGCAGGGGAUCUUCGGACCUUGCGCGAUUGAAUGAGCCGAUGUCGGAUUAGCUAGUUGGCGGGGUAAAGGCCCACCAAGGCGACGAUCCGUAGCUGGUCUGAGAGGAUGAUCAGCCACCCUGGAACUGAGACACGGUCCCGACUCCUACGGGAGGCAGCAGUGGGGAAUAUUGGCCAAUGGGCGCAAGCCUGAUCCAGCCAUACCGCGUGGGUGAAGAAGGCCUUCGGGUUGAAAAGCCCUUUUGUUGGGAAAGAAAAGCAGCAGGUUAAUACCCCGCUGUUCUGACGGUACCCACAGAAUAAGCACCGGCUAACUUCGUG